UUGUCCUACGGGACGCAGCAGUGGGGGAUAUUGCACAAUUGUUUAAACCCUUAUUCAUCUACUCCUCUUUUUUUAAUAAGCGCCUCGGCGCGUAAAGCCCUGUCAGCAGGGAAGAAAAUGACGGUACCUGAAGAAGAAGCCCCGGCUAACUACGUGCCAGCAGCCGCGAUAAUACGUAGGGGGCAAGCGUUUCCGGAUUUACUGGGUGUAAAGGGGGCGCAGACGGCGAUGCAAGCCAGGAGUGAAAGCCCGGGGCCCAACCCCGGGACUGCUCUUGGAACUGCGUGGCUAGAGUGCAGGAGGGG
RNAcentral lists this ribosomal RNA (305 nucleotides) under uncultured bacterium. Its description in RNAcentral is "bacterial SSU rRNA". It matches the Rfam family "Bacterial small subunit ribosomal RNA", at positions 334 to 657 of the family's 1533-position model. The record is from RNAcentral.